This is a non-coding RNA of Picea glauca (white spruce), 124 nucleotides long. Lineage: Eukaryota; Viridiplantae; Streptophyta; Pinopsida; Pinales; Pinaceae. The record is from Rfam.
UCUUAUGUAUAUGCCUAUAGCGUCAAUGCAUCAGAUACCAUAAGAACUUUGUAGUUAAGUGCACUUGGGCUAGAGUAGUAUUAGGGUGGGUGACCUCUUGAGAAGUCCUAAUGCUUUACAUGCU